Molecule: long non-coding RNA, 1378 nt
Filed under: Chinchilla lanigera (long-tailed chinchilla)
Lineage: Eukaryota; Metazoa; Chordata; Mammalia; Rodentia; Chinchillidae
Description: lncRNA (ENSCLAG00000023722.1)
Source: RNAcentral
CGGCGCCUAUGACUCCGGCCGCCACAGGCGAGGCGAUUGUUGACAAACUCGCCUGCCAGCGCCGCGCGGACAGCCUCGGCCGGAGCUCUGGGACCCGGGCUGCUUCGGCUGCCCCGCCCCUGGGCCCGGCCGGGACACCGCUCGCCGCAGGACUUCUCGCCGCCACAGUCACCUGGAGACAAAGUAGGACCCGCGCUCUCCGGGGACCCUCCGGAUCGUGCUCACCGGCACCUUCAGGCCGGUCGGCUUGAGGACCCUAAGGCCCGCACUAGCUCAGCUGCAGCAUCCCCUCCCCCGACUCCAGCAACUCCGUCUCCCCGCGCGCCGCGGACACGAAGCCAGUCGGAGCGUCCACCCCUGACCAGGGGCGUGCACUCACACCCCAUCCCCGGCGUUAGGCGGGCUCUCCACCAGCUCCCACUCCCACCGUGGGUAAACACCCCCGGGGUGUAGGGGCCGCCCGCCAACACCGCGUGGGCGCCCCGGGCCACCGGGCACACGCGAGCCGCUAGGACAGUCUGGUCCCGGGGCCCGAACAAGUUCCGCUGGCUGGGGAAACGCCUUUGGCCUCUCGCUAUCCGUGGAUCCAGGGGCUGACACACUGUGAAGGAUGCAUGCAGAUCUAGCAGGGCCCCCAACCACUUCCAAGAGGGAGUCCUCAGCAGCUGCCCCAAACCUCGGCUUGAACGAGUUAAAAAGCAAAGCCCAGGUUGGUCAAAAAUCACCACCGCAGUUCCGCAAACCCUCGCACCUAAGAGCCAAAACUCGAGACCCACAGUACAGUACGGACGCUUCGCGGGGGCCGCCGGCGAGGCUUCCCGGCUGGGCGCGCAGCGCGGUACCGCAGAGCGGGUCUCCAGCUUCCUGGCCGGUGCCAAAACAAGCGAUCUCCCGCUUGCGCCGCUCCGCUGCCCCGCGCGCAUCCCGGCCGGAGCCACAGUUGGGCCAAAUGGCCGCAGCUUCGGUGCCGACGACCCUUCCCCAGAUGGGACCUGCCGGGGGGGCGCUCCGGCCCGCACCGCUCGCAAUCUCCCGCCCGGCGGUGAACGGUGCGGAUUCGCGCGUCCGGCCUGCACGUGCGCGGAAAGCCGGCACUAGAUGGAGCCGCUCGGGCUUCGGCGCCCGUCUUCCAUCCGUACCCAGCCCGUUCCUCGGGAUGCGGAGGACCCAAAUCAGCAAGAUCCUCGCCUUUCUCGCGCUCCGCACUUCCGCGCCCUCCUGUCACCCCGCAGGCGCUCGCCAGCUCUUUUCCGUGAGACCGAGCCUGGGGUGGGAAGGAGAGCGCAGGGCCGGCCAGGAGCCACCCCAGGACGCGUCCUUCCGCAGCCCCAGCCUGGGGCGGGAUGCGCGUGUGUGCAGAUACGAUAGGGAAGUUUAA